Molecule: unclassified non-coding RNA, 109 nt
Organism: Ictidomys tridecemlineatus (thirteen-lined ground squirrel)
Lineage: Eukaryota; Metazoa; Chordata; Mammalia; Rodentia; Sciuridae
Source: Ensembl
AAUCUGGCUACACCUGGGAUCUAAGUGCUUUUCAUCUGAGAAAAUGCAUCUCUAUUCAGCCCCUCGGGACUUCCCUGAAGGAAAGAUAGGAUAUUUGAGGUAAGGGAUG